UUUUUGCGUUAGGGAUAUUAGCGGCAUCCUUUUUUAACUGCUUAUGCGAAGCACUAAGCUGUUAAAAAAGAUAUAGCGAAUAGCCCGACCCGCA
RNAcentral lists this small RNA (94 nucleotides) under Mesonia algae. Its description in RNAcentral is "Flavo-1 RNA". It matches the Rfam family "Flavo-1 RNA". Lineage: Bacteria; Pseudomonadati; Bacteroidota; Flavobacteriia; Flavobacteriales; Flavobacteriaceae. The record is from Rfam by way of RNAcentral.